Pyrus x bretschneideri (Chinese white pear) is the source of this 1662-nucleotide long non-coding RNA. RefSeq lists it as uncharacterized. Lineage: Eukaryota; Viridiplantae; Streptophyta; Magnoliopsida; Rosales; Rosaceae. The record is from RefSeq and is a predicted model, not a curated record. The transcript has 6 exons.
AGAAAGAGAGAGAGAUGCCGAUGGGAAGACAGCACAGGGGAGAGGUAUGGGUGAUGGAUUUCAAAACUGGGAAAGUGGGUUUUGUCUUCUCGGUUUUGACUGAAUUCGAGGGUUGUUGUGUACAGUUUCAUUUGCUGUCCUUGAAUGAGGGUUUCGGGGGGAUGGAGACUCUGAUAGAGAGCGGAAGAAAGAGAGAGAGAGAGAGAGAGAGAGAGAGAGAUGACGAUGGAAAGAGAGCGAAGGGGAGAGGUAUGAGUCAUGGAUUUCAGAAGUGGGAGAGUGGGGAUGGUCAGAGAAAACCAUACAGGUUAUCCGGAUCUACCGCUGCAUGCCUGGAUUUCGAAAGAUAAGUGCUUUUUAAAUUUUUUUUUUUUUUUUUUUUUCUAUCAGCUUGGAAAGAUAAGUGAUUUCGAAAGAUAAGUGGAUUAUUUUCGAAUUUUUUAGUGUGUUAGGUCAGAUUUUGGGGGAAUCAUCAGAGAUAUUAAUUUCCCUUAUUAGUUUGCUUUUCUCUCAUUUUGCACAUUCAUCUCUCUGUCUGCCUGUUUGUUCUCUGUCUUAAGGUCGGUUCUUUUUUUUUUUUUUUUUUUUUUUUUUUUUUGGGGUUUUUUGUAUGGCUUUUUUUUUUUUUUUUUCUUUUUGUUUUCCAGGUUAUAGAUCUAAUGCUCUUUUGUAUACCAAUCUUGGUUUUGUUUUUCUUGGAAAAUUGUUUUUAUCUGAUUGUGGAUUCGUGGGUUUUAAUUUCUAUGGUUUGUUGCAGGUUGCAAAGCAAGAGGUUCUCACCUCAAGAUUCAGUUUAAGACCAUCAUGAGGAUCACCACACCCAUGAUCAUGUUCAUGAUCCUGGCGUUUCUUCUGUCAGCAUAGUUUGUGAAGGGAACUUAGAACUUGAAAAGGUAGGAUCUCUGUUUUGUCGUAUUUUGCAAUAUAUUUGAUAAUUUCUUCUGUGUCUUCCAUGUGGACCUGUUGCCUUUGAAUGAGACAAGUACACAUUUGAGGGCCAGUUGCAUCCAGAGUCUUUGUCCAGGCAUGUAUGAAAGAAAACCUGACAAAGACUACUGAUUUCGUUUUUAUUUUUUCAGGCUAACAUAUGUCUUGGUACACUGUUGUUGAAACGAAGUGAGGACAUAUAUCGUAUGAAAGGUCUUCUAUUAGUUCAAGGAAUGAAAAAGAGAUUUGUCUUCCAGGGUUUAGGUGCUCUGAAAAUGCCCACCCUUAUUUUUUUUACACCAAGUAUAUAUGGCAACCCAGGCAUUCCAACUUGCUCAGGGAAAUACUUCAUUUAAGGAAAAGCCUGAAAUAAUGUUGUCAAGUGCUAUACUGAAGCUAUCAGAUUGAACAUGAUGUGUGCAACUUAGAUUGCAACCAUGCAAUUGCUUACUUGGAGAUUUAUUCUUUACGAUUCGCUGGUUAGGGUAAGCAUUUUGGUGAGCUUUGAUUUUGUGAGGCUCUGGAAACAAUAUAGUUCUUGAGCUAAUGUGAAGAUUUUGGGUUGAACAUUGUGCUGUGAAGAUAUUGGGUUUAAUAUUUGAUUCCGUUUUUCAUUUUGCACUUACAAAAAUAGAGGAUUGUGGUUAAUUAUUGUGAUGUGAAGCUUCUAUUUGAUGUCGACUUAAUGAGUAGCGAUGUAAAUUAAACUACGUAUUUUAUGGAUCAAUUCACAUA